RNAcentral lists this ribosomal RNA (468 nucleotides) under uncultured bacterium. Its description in RNAcentral is "partial 16S ribosomal RNA". It matches the Rfam family "Bacterial small subunit ribosomal RNA", at positions 28 to 507 of the family's 1533-position model. The record is from RNAcentral.
GACGAACGCUGGCGGCGUGCUUAACACAUGCAAGUCGAACGGAAAGGACCUGCUUUUGUGGGGUGCUCGAGUGGCGAAAGGGUGAGUAACACGUGAGUAACCUGCCCUUGACUUUGGGAUAACUUCAGGAAACUGGGGCUAAUACCGGAUCGGAGCUCCUGCUGCAUGGUGGGGGUUGGAAAGUUUCGGCGGUUGGGGAUGGACUCGUGGCUUAUCAGCUUGUUGGUGGGGUAGUGGCUUACCAAGGCUUUGACGGGUAGCCGGCCUGAGAGGGUGACCGGCCACAUUGGGACUGAGAUGCGGCCCAGACUCCUACGGGAGGCGGCGGUGGGGAAGAUUGCACAAUGGGCGGAAGCCAGAUGCAGCGACGCCGCGUGCGGGAUGACGGCCUUCGGGUUGGAAACCGCUUUCGCCUGUGACGAAGCGUGAGUGACGGUAAUGGGUAAAGAAGCACCGGCUAACUACGUG